GAUAAACGCUGGCGGCGCACAUAAGACAUGCAAGUCGAACGGAAGUCGUUAUAAAAAGGAUUGAAGAUUUAUCUGAUUGAGAUUUUAUAACAAUGGCUUUAGUGGCGGACUGGUGAGUAACGCGUGAGCAACCUGCCUACUAGAGGGGAAUAACAGUGAGAAAUCAUUGCUAAUACCGCAUAUGCCAUGAACAUCACAUGAUGAAAAUGGGAAAAGAGUAAUCUGCUAGUAGAUGGGCUCGCGUCUGAUUAGAUAGUUGGUGGGGUAACGGCCUACCAAGUCAACGAUCAGUAGCCGGACUGAGAGGUUGAACGGCCACAUUGGGACUGAGAUACGGCCCAGACUCCUACGGGAGGCAGCAGUCGGGAAUAUUGCGCAAUGGAGGAAACUCUGACGCAGUGACGCCGCGUAUAGGAAGAAGGUUUUCGGAUUGUAAACUAUUGUCGUUAGGGAAGAUACAAGACAGUACCUAAGGAGGAAGCUC
Molecule: ribosomal RNA, 484 nt
Filed under: uncultured bacterium
Lineage: Bacteria
Description: bacterial SSU rRNA
Rfam family: Bacterial small subunit ribosomal RNA
Source: RNAcentral